CCCCCCAUAGUGGGAGAGUUGCCACCGGAUCUCAUUAGAACUUUGGAGUUAAGCGUGUUUAGGUGGGAGUAAUCCCUAGAUGGGUGACCUCCUUGGGAAGUCCUCGGAUACGUGUGU
Spirodela intermedia is the source of this 117-nucleotide non-coding RNA. Lineage: Eukaryota; Viridiplantae; Streptophyta; Magnoliopsida; Alismatales; Araceae. The record is from the annotation of a GenBank genome assembly.